Molecule: signal recognition particle RNA, 97 nt
Filed under: Halieaceae bacterium
Lineage: Bacteria; Pseudomonadati; Pseudomonadota; Gammaproteobacteria; Cellvibrionales; Halieaceae
Description: signal recognition particle sRNA small type
Rfam family: Bacterial small signal recognition particle RNA
About the family: The signal recognition particle (SRP) is a universally conserved ribonucleoprotein involved in the co-translational targeting of proteins to membranes. Archaeal SRP consists of a 7S RNA and homologues of the eukaryotic SRP19 and SRP54 proteins. In most bacteria, the SRP consists of a 4.5S RNA and the Ffh protein (a homologue of the eukaryotic SRP54 protein).
Source: RNAcentral
GGAUGGUCCCCCCGCAGCGAUAGGUGAUGAACCCCGCCAGGCCCGGGAGGGAGCAACGGUAGUUACUGAUUCGGGUGCCGGGGUGUGGCUGUCCGAG